Amphibalanus amphitrite is the source of this 912-nucleotide long non-coding RNA. RefSeq lists it as uncharacterized. The transcript has 2 exons. The record is from RefSeq and is a predicted model, not a curated record. NCBI's taxonomy places the organism in Eukaryota, Metazoa, Arthropoda, Thecostraca, Balanomorpha, Balanidae.
AUGGGCAUGGUGGGCUAGGUGGGCCAUGGGCUAGAGAUGGGCAAAUAUGUGGGCUGCAUGUGGGCCCCACAUGGGCUGCCCACAUUUUUUGGCAGGCAUAAUGAUUGAUAAUGAGAUUGCUUGCACCAUGUACGAGGGCAUAUCCAGGAAUUUUGGUGAACACAGGCAUUCACGCGGUGUUCCUGUAUGGUGGGCUUAACAUGGGCACUGCGUGGGCAGCCCAUGUAGUGGGGUGUAGGUGGGCUGGAUGUGGGCAGCCCAUUAUUUAUUUUUUCACUGUCCAAUGUGUAUGAUAUUACAAGAAACAAGAACUCGCUGUUUAGUCUCAGACUCUCAUGCCUCCAAAAUACACUUCGACGUCGUGAGGAAGUCGCAUAGUUGAUGUUUGUGAGACCAGCUACGGCUGAUAUUGGAUAGUCAAUGUUGUGAUUUUGUCGUAUGAUUGUGUCGCCUGAGCCCGCCCCUGCGCGGGCGACCCGCCGGCGGAGCUCGGCCCACCGGACGGGGCCUGGGGCCGCCUCUGCACCGCCCGGGGCGGUGACCGGCCGACCGGCCGGUCGGCUGUCGGGGCUGCGGCGUCUGGGCGGGCCAGUUGGCGUUCAGACUCUGAGUGGUGUGCGUGUCCAAUAAAGCCUUAUUAAGCCACGGGAAGGUCGGCCUUGGGAAGACCAAGCUGUUCCGGGUGAUCUUCCACGCUGUCAACCUGAACCCGACGGUGACCUGCCAAGAAAAGGAUCUCGAAAAGGCCGUCGGCAAGUGGCUGACAAACUGCCGCGACCGUGACGGCCAGCGAUCAGACCGGGGGCGAGGCCGUUCGCCCGCCCAGUGACUUGUGUCUCGAUGAGCGCAGAAAGAAAUACAGGACUGUGCCUGAUGUAUGUUGUUUUUAUGGGAAUAAAGUGCUGGAAGGAA